UGGGGAAUUUGGACAAUGGGGCAACCCUGAUCCAGCCAUCCCGCGUGUGCGAUGAAGGCCUUCGGGUUGUAAAGCACUUUUGGCAGGGAAGAAACAGCCUGGGAUAAUACCCCGGGCGACUGACGGUACCUGCAGAAUAAGCACCGGCUAACUACGUGCCAGCAGCCGCGGUAAUACGUAGGGUGCAAAGCGUUAAUCGGAAUUACUGGGCGUAAAGCGUGCGCAGGCGGUUCGGAAAGAAAGGUGUGAAAUCCCAGGGCUUAACCUUGGAACUGCACUUUUAACUACCGAGCUAGAGUACGUCAGAGGGGGGUAGAAUUCCACGUGUAGCAGUGAAAUGCGUAGAGAUGUGGAGGAAUACCGAUGGCGAAGGCAGCCCCCUGGGAUGAUACUGACGCUCAUGCACGAAAAGCGUGGGGAGCAAAACAGGAUUAGAUACCCUGGUAGUCCACGCCCUAAAACAAUGUCAACUAGCUGUUGGGGUUUAAUUAAACCUUAGUAGCGCAGCUAACGCGUGAAAGUUGACCGCCUGGGGGAGUACGGUCGCAAAGAUUAAAAACUUAAAAUGAAUUGACAGGGGUCAUAGCUGUUUUUCCAUG
Molecule: ribosomal RNA, 599 nt
Filed under: uncultured bacterium
Lineage: Bacteria
Description: partial 16S ribosomal RNA
Rfam family: Bacterial small subunit ribosomal RNA
Source: RNAcentral